ACUUAGUAUAGGGGCUAUAUUAAAUAUUUUGCCUUUUUUUUAAGCGGUCAAAGUACUGAUUGUUAUGCACACUUUGUAAAGUGGAAAAUUUUUUUUUUCCUGUACUCUUCCCCCGCAUUUCUACUUUUCCUCAAGGGUUGUGAGAAACAUCGAAAUGCCAAAAUCUUAAAAACUCUAAAACUCGUCAGUUCUAGGAAUUCCAGAUUAGCUUCAAAGAAAUUCGAGCAAAGUCUAUGGUAACAAGAAAGCUUUCAUGUUUGGCGCAUUAAACAAUUUGACCAACAUCAGUGCAGCAGCUGAAUCACUUGGAUUGUUAAAUCUGUUCUAAUGUUUGCAGUAUUUUUUUUUAAUUAGUCAAAGUAUUGUUAUACACAAGUAUACCAUACCACUUUAGGUUAGAU
This 401-nucleotide unclassified non-coding RNA is filed under the name Hevea brasiliensis (rubber tree). The record is from RNAcentral. Lineage: Eukaryota; Viridiplantae; Streptophyta; Magnoliopsida; Malpighiales; Euphorbiaceae.